Molecule: ribosomal RNA, 207 nt
Filed under: uncultured bacterium
Lineage: Bacteria
Description: partial 16S ribosomal RNA
Rfam family: Bacterial small subunit ribosomal RNA
Source: RNAcentral
CGCGUAGGCGGCCCGGCAGGCCGGGGGUCGAAGCGGGGGGCUCAACCCCCCGAAGCCCCCGGAACCUCCGCGGUUUGGGUCCGGUAGGGGAGGGUGGAACACCCGGUGUAGCGGUGGAAUGCGCAGAUAUCGGGUGGAACACCGGUGGCGAAGGCGGCCCUCUGGGCCGAGACCGACGCUGAGGCGCGAAAGCUGGGGGAGCGAACA